UGUGAGAUCAGAGAAAGAGAAACGGGAAUUUCACUCCCAACUCGUCGUUCAAGUUUCAUCCCAAAACCCCAAAAUUACCCCUUAAUAGCCGCAAUACAGUCACGAAAUUACUCCCAACUCGUCGUUUCAAUUGCUGAAAUUUCAGAACUCCGGGAUUAUUAUUUUAGCUGUUGAGCCGAGGUUGCUGUUUGGAAGUCUUUGGCCGCGGUCUAGUUUUUUCGGCUGAAAUUCCGUUGUUCGGAAUAUUCUGUCUUCUUUUACUUCGUCAAUAAAGGUCCUUUCUCUUGUUCUUUACUUUAUUCAAUAUUCUCAAUCUCCUAUUUUGGAUUUAUAAAAGGCAUGUGAUAUGUUUGCUACAUUCUAGCCCUUCUGUGUUUCUUUGUAAAAUUGAUUGACAUGUUAGAGUUUAUUCUUAGGUGGUAAAGUCACGUAAGGAUUAGAAUUUGGAUCUUUAGUUUAUUCUCAUAAUUUUGUUAACUUGGUAUUUCAAGUUUGAGAUGAUAGAUAGUUUAAUGGAUAGAACUUUCCUUUAUGUGGGUUUGAUUUGGAACUAACUAAUUAAAGUUUAUAUUUUUAUUCAGUUGAUUCACCUUUUGCACUAAAUAUUUACUGAUGGUUAUCAUUAUGUGUUUAUUUGAGUUGUCCGAUUAUUCAUCUACACUGUUAUUAAAAAGGAAUAAAGAGAAGUUCUUUCCAUGGGGUCAAUGGCUUUGUAAUAUAAUUAGGGUUUGGUACGUCCCUUUUAAGUGAUAAUUGAAUCUAUAAGUGUAGACGACUUGUGAAUAAUACUAAAUAGUUAAAUUUUACACUUCUUUCACAAUUUCAUAUUCAUAAAUCAUGGCCUCACAAUAAUUUCAAACAAGCUUAAGAAAUUAAUCAACUCACAAAAGCGUUAGAAUGUUUUAGGCGUACUUUUAAUUAAUCAAAUCAUCAUGAUUAUGUAUACGUCCGCGUGACAUAGUUAUAAUUUUCCAAAUUAAAGGUAAAGUAUGCGUUUGCGCGACUUUGACAAAACAAUCUUAAAAAUAAUAAAGUGUUAUUAAUUGUGUACACGUACGCGUGACAUGAUUCUUGACACACUAAACAAAACGAAUACACGUGCGCAUGAUUCGUUUCAAGAUGAUUUCAUAAUUACAAAUAAUCAAGUAAUUAGAAGCGGUUUAAGGCAAAAUUGCAUAAAUUUCCCUAGAACAUUAAAAUAUCCAGAAUUAGUUAAGCCGGAUAUAAAUAUUAAAGCAACCGUAUUAGAACCAUGGAACUCGGGAGUGACUCGCACCUUCUUCCGGGUUAACAAAAUUUCUUACCCGAUCUUCUGUGUUUCGCAGACUUAAACAUAGUCAAUUUUCUUGAAUUGGGAUUUUAAAAUAAAUGGUGACUUGAAACACCGUAAAUAUUAUUCCAAGUGGCGACUCUUUAAAAAUAAAAUAAAUUAAUCCCUUUUCAACUAAUGUCACUUAAAUUGAAAAAACUCCUCCCUUUCCUCGUAAAAAAAGAGGCGUGACAAUUAUCAGUCCUGAGUGUUUGAACUUUGGCAUGGAACUGGGUUGAAACCAUUGCAAUAAUGGCUUUGAUAACUGAAAAGGCAUUGCUCUUGCAAGAUAAUAGGUGGGUCCAAGUGACUCUGCUACAGUCAUCUACAAUGGUUAAGAGGUAUCUGAAACUAUUGUAGGUAAUUGUAUGGUAAAGGCCCCAAAGAUCAACAUGGACAAGCUGGAAAGGGUUGGUAGAGUGGGUGGAACUAUGAGGGAAAGGUAAUCUUUGUUGCCUUGCCAUUGGGCAGAUUGAACAAUUAAAGGAUUGCUUGGAAGAAAAGGUAAAUGUGCAAUAAUAACUGAACCAUGUACGAGUGUUAAUAUUCAAUAUAUUUAAAAAGUACCGAACCACUAAACAUAAUAUAUAUUCAGUAAAUAUCACCAUUAUAAUUGUGCCCGACGACUUGUCAUGUUUUCAAAACGAUCAAUGAUCGCAUCAUUAGGUACACUUUCAAAUACUUCAUCUUUUAUAUAACAAACUAAAUAGUCAUUUAUAAACUCAUCACCAAUUCUGCUCCGCAAGUCAUUUUUGAUGUAUUUCAUUGAAGAAAAAGCUCUUUUUACCGUUGCAGUAGCGAUAGACAAUAUCAAACUCAACUUUACAAGCAAAUAAACAAGUCCCUAAGUCUUGUGCAGCUCUAUUUCAACUAGUAUUUCUGAAAGAUCUCCAAGCCCUUUCAAGUUAGACAAAUUACGGUCUUCUCUUACAUAAAGAAUAUAGUUGUCAAGAUCGUAGCUAAGAUCUUCAAGCGUGGAAAUACUAUACUCAUGAGAAUAAAGUUUAGCAAGCUUCAUAAUUCUUUCUUUAUCAUAAUUUGCAAAAAAAUUAUCCGGACUCAAACUAGCCAUACUAAGAAGUAGAUCACUAUUCACUACAUCAAAAUGACUAUUAAGUUCUGAAAGCUGCAAAUCAAUGACAACAUUAAAAAUAUCUAUACGCAAAUGAUGAGAGUAUAUCACACUUGAACUCCUACGCUUUGACUUUCCAAGAUGAUUGUUCUUAUCCAUUUCAGGGAUCAUAAUACCAUGUUUGGCACAAAAUGAAGAGGCAUCGGCUAUCAAAGAUUCCCAAUUAGACUCUCUCAUUGAUUGCAAUUGGCUCUUGGCAAAACCAAUGAACUUCAUAGCAUUUACAAUAUUCCGAUCUUUUCUUUGUAAAACAAUAUUCAAAUCAUUUUGUAAUUGCUAAUACUUUUAACAUCAAAUGCAAUAAAUGCACAAACUCAAAAUAUCUUAUGUCAUUCACUAGACUUUUUUCCAUUGAUCUCUCGAGAUAAUUUGCACCUUCACUUGCAAGAACUUCAAGAAUAUGAAUAUUUGACGAGAAUAAUGCAAUAAAGUUACGCACUAUCUUAAAAUGAGAUCCUCAACGGGUAUCUCCUGGCCUUUGAAAUCUAAGUUCUUGAUUUUGUGUACUUCCCGUAUCAACUUCACCAAGCAUAAGCAAUUCCUCUAGUUUUUGUGCUUGAUCCUCUCGGAGCAUCUACCUGCGCUUAAAAGAACUUCCAAUAGUAUUCAAGACAUUAGUAACAAUAUCAAAAAAUUGAUCCACAUCAUAAUGUUUCUUUGCAACAGCUACAAGAGUCAAUUGCAAUUGAUGAGCAAAGCAAUGUACGCAAUAAGCUGAAAGAGUAUCUUUCAAGAUUAACGUCUUAAGCCCAUUGAUUUCUCCUUGCAUAUUACUAGCUCCAUCAUAACCUUGUCUCCGUAUUUGUGGUCGACUUAAUGAACGCUCUAAAAGCAAAGAAUAGAUUGCCUUUUACAAUGACAAUGCAGUUGUAUCUUUAACAUGAACAAUACUAAGGAAUCGCUCAAUAAAUUUUCCCUCUUUGUUGAUGUAUCACAGAACAAGAGACAUUUGUUCCUUAUGAGAGACAUCCUUAGAUUCAUCAACCAAUAUUCCGAAAUAAUCUCCAUUCAUCUCUUUAACAAUAGCUUUCAUUGUUUCUUUUGCACUAGCAUUCACAAUCUCUUUUUGAAUAUUUGGAGCAAUCAUCAUAUUAUUCCGUGGAACUUUUUCUAAUACAAUUUUUUUUCACUUCAUCAUCUCUAUUUGCAUACCAUUGCAAGAGUUCUAGAAAGUUUCCUCUUUUUGUAGAUGUUCCACCUUCAUUGUGGCCUCGAAAAGGCAUUCCUUGUUUUAUGAGAAAUCUGGCCACAUCAAUCGAAGUAGUCAAUCGAAGUCGAUACUCACUUUUAGCUUUCUCAGACUGCUUGUCAAAAGAGGUUAAAAUUGAUUGUUCCUGAUUCAUUAAAUCUCUCAAACAUCGAUUGUGAAGACUAUUCACUUCACCAAUAUGUGCAUUAAACCUUUCUGUAGAUUUAUUCCAAGCUUUAAAACCACUCUUUGUAAAAGAAUCCCCGACCUUUCCAUGUCCUCCAUGCUCAUUUUUAAAUAAGUAGCAACAUAAGCAAAAUGUCGCAUCAACUUUAAUACUAUAUUCUAACCAACCCGAAUAUGAAUUAAACCACUCCGGAUUAAAUUGACGCAUUAGUCCACCAAAAUUUUUUUUGGAAACUUAUGAUUACGAGGUUGACAUGGUCCUUCUUUAAUAUAAUAUCUCCUCACUCGGUCACGCAGAUUAGGAGAAUAUUCUGAGAUUUGCUUUCUUUCAGCAGGAUCAGGUUUAAGAUCCAAAUUCAACAUUUCAUCUUUGUUUAAUUCUGUUGAAGGCUUAAUAUUAUCAUGAAUAAUUGGACAUGGAGAAGUACUUGGAAAAGGAGAGCUAGUACCGGAACUUGGAGAAGUUGGAAUAGCCUUGAAAAAUCUCGUGAUCGUCAUAUAUAUAUAAGAAGCAAAGUGUUCCCUACAAAAUUGAUUUUGAAUAAGACAGUCAGUCAUCUAUUUUAUUAGAAAUUUUCAACAAUCAUCUUCUCUACAUUGAAAUGUCCAACUAAACUAGUUACAUAUUAACCAACUUUAUUAUCAAUAUAAGUUUAAUAAAUUAUCCCAAAAAAGUGUUUAAAAUCUUAUAGGGUUACAUACUUUUUUAAGAAUAUUAAGUAUUUAAGACUUAAAGCUAGUAACUUUCUUCUCUAUACGUUAAUCAUUGAGAGAGGAAAAUGGUUUUUUUUCUAAUUGCUAGCAAAAAACUUCAAAAAAAAAAAGAAAUAAAGUAUCCAUAAGAAGUAGAUAAUGAGCAAUUGUACCAUUAUUAUAGCUUAUAAUAUAUAAACUACAUCAUAAUAGAGAAUCAUAACCAUAGAGCCAUAGAUUUGUACCAGCAAAAUCCUAACUUUAGAAGUUUGGGGUUGAAGAACUUCAAUUUCUUAAUCUGAUAUGUGCCCGAGAAGAAUAAGACUCCCUUUGAUUUUUUAUGUUUUUGAAAAGAGUAUAAAAGUCCAUUAUAUCAAUGAAGUACAAUAAAAAAAGUAUUUAAAUGAUUAAAUGGGUCCAUAACUUUUAGACAACAUGAAAAGAUCACUAUUUAUUUAAUUUAAUAAAAAGGAACAAAGGGAUCCCAUGUGCUGAUGUGUUACAAACUAAGAAAAGGACAAAAAAAGUCCCCUACUACUCUAAUACAAAAUAAAGUGAAAGUGGGGAAUAAAACUCAGGUCUCCAGCAAGGAACAGAAGUAAGAUGAAGUUUUCCACCACUGAACCCAUAGCCUCUUUUAGUUUAUGGGUUCCUAGUUUAAUAUAUAACCAAAUUUCGCUGAAUUUGUACAAUAUAUGCUCGAUUUUUGUCGAAAGUUAUGGGUUUAUUUGAACUCGUACCAAAUAUGCUAGAUCCGCCCAUGUGAGUUGUACGAAAGUUAAUGCACAUAAAUCAAAUUGUAAGAAAAUGAUGGUGCUAACAGCACAUUAGUAAGAGUAAUAUCAGGAAAUAAAGUGAAAGAACCAAAAGAAGUCUCUUUGACUUUAUACCCAUUAGGUAAGGUUACUAGUGAAGGAGAAAGUAAUGGUUCUAUGUUAUGUAAUAGAUAUUUAUGUGGUGUCAUAUGAUUGGUAGCUCCAGAAUCCGAACUCCAAGAACUAAAAUCUUUACAAGUAACAUGACACACAAUGUAAUCAUAAAGUCUACUAACAGGAUUAUUGUGCCAACCUGCAAAAUUAGCAUACACUUGAUUUCCCUGAGAGGAGGUACUAUGAACAUAAG
RNAcentral lists this long non-coding RNA (5631 nucleotides) under Nicotiana tabacum (common tobacco). RNAcentral's name for it is "long non-coding RNA (NTAB_LNC005947)". The record is from RNAcentral. Lineage: Eukaryota; Viridiplantae; Streptophyta; Magnoliopsida; Solanales; Solanaceae.